RNAcentral lists this ribosomal RNA (253 nucleotides) under uncultured bacterium. RNAcentral describes it as "partial 16S ribosomal RNA". It matches the Rfam family "Bacterial small subunit ribosomal RNA", at positions 524 to 776 of the family's 1533-position model. The record is from RNAcentral.
UACGUAGGGUGCAAGCGUUAAUCGGAAUUACUGGGCGUAAAGCGUGCGCAGGCGGUUAUGUAAGGCAGAUGUGAAAUGCCCGGGCUUAACCUGGGAACUGCAUUUGUGACUGCAUGGCUAGAGUUUGGCAGAGGGGGAUGGAAUUCCGCGUGUAGCAGUGAAAUGCGUAGAUAUGCGGAGGAACACCGAUGGCGAAGGCAAUCCCCUGGGCCUGCACUGACGCUCAUGCACGAAAGCGUGGGGAGCAAACAGG